This 361-nucleotide ribosomal RNA is filed under the name uncultured Glomeromycotina. Its description in RNAcentral is "SSU rRNA". It matches the Rfam family "Eukaryotic small subunit ribosomal RNA", at positions 734 to 1092 of the family's 1831-position model. Lineage: Eukaryota; Fungi; Glomeromycota. The record is from RNAcentral.
UGUGGGGAAUCAGGACUGUUACUUUGAAAAAAUUAGAGUGUUUAAAGCAGGCUCACGCUUGAAUACAUUAGCAUGGAAUAAUGAAAUAGGACGUUUGAUUCUAUUUUGUUGGUUUCUAGGAUCGACGUAAUGAUUAAUAGGGAUAGUUGGGGGCAUUAGUAUUCAAUUCGUCAGAGGUGAAAUUCUUGGAUUUAUUGAAGACUAACUACUGCGAAAGCAUUUGCCAAGGAUGUUUUCAUUAAUCAAGAACGAAAGUUAGGGGAUCGAAGACGAUCAGAUACCGUCGUAGUCUUAACCAUAAACUAUGCCGACUAGGGAUCGGAUGAUGUUAAUUUUUUAAUGACUCAUUCGGCGCCUUACG